CUAUAACAUAGAGUAAGGGCCAAGAACCAUAAAUUGAGGACCAAGGAAUGAAUGACUAUAAAUUCUCAAGCUUAUGGAGGAACCAGGGGAGGAAUGGUAAGAGGUAUCAAUCCAAUUUCUUUUGUAAUCUUCUCGAAUUGAUAUUUACUUGGGCGUCGGAGUGUUUUUCUGUUUUGCAGGUCCCUUCUCCCAUAAUCGAUUACAAGAUGGAUGCGUCAAGGGCUUCUCGGAGAUUGAAGGAGAGAGAUUUAUGUUGGGUAAUCCCUCUCCCGAAUUUUUUCGCACCAACAAUAGGUUCGUGGCCAAUAGCAAAAUAAAAGUUUUUCUAACUAGGGGAUCUUGGGAAAGUAGUGUUUGAGUGUGAUGAUCGAAGUCGUCUUUCAAAAGUGCUAGCUCAAAUUGAUAUUUGAUUUUCAAAUUCUUGCUUAAUGCCAUAGAAUUAGACCUCUUCACCCCCUACAACUAAUUACAAUAUUACAUGCAGUCCUUUUCUGCAUUCUCGAUAAUGAGCAGAAUCCAUUUGCACACUGAGAUUGCAAGUUUAGAAUCUAAAUUUAUCAACACUCACUCCACCUCAACUACCUUUAAACUAAUAUAAUCCCCCUUCUUUUCUCUUUUCUUUGUUAAUAAAUUGUAUUUGAUUCUGAGAGAAGAUUUGGAUUGCUCGAUCGGUUUGCUCCAAAGCUUCUUGUAUAUGCAGUUGCAGUUGCAGUUGCCCACGUAUCUCAGGAAGGAGGACAAUACAGUCCAAAGCAGAAUGACAAGGCAAAUGCAAAAGACAAUUAACAAGAAGCUAGUAGCAACCCCAACUUUAGUUACAUCCAUGUUCCCAUAAAAAUACCUAAAGUUGAAAAAAGCAUGGGCCAGCAUGUUAAUGCUUCAAGUAUAUGCUUGGAAGAUACUCUUUCCACCGAACCCAAACAAUAUUCCUAUAACCCCUUUAAAGCUCACAAGCCUCCUCUUUCACUACCACUCCUUCUCUCUAGCUAAUUGUGGAACUCAUCCAUGGCCUCCAUCAAAGCUUCCAUAGCAACUACAAGGGCAUGCAGCGGCCAGAUCAGUGAGGGUGAUGAAGACGAGGACAACAAAGAUGAGGAGGAUCGAGGAGGGUAUAAACCACCGCCAUUAAAAGUUUGAUGUCGAUCAUUACUUUUUUGGGGCAACUAAGGACUCUUUGGCAGAGCAAUAUCUAGGAUGAUGCCUGAUGAUGUUCAGUUUGAUCAUUAAGAAGCGUUCUAACUGGUGGUUACAGAUCGAUUGUGAUGUAAUGAUGGAAUGGGCCAACUUCACAGAAAGAAUGGGGACUUUAAAGUAUGAAAACGAAGUAACUAGCAGAUUCAUCCACAGAUCCAUGGUGGAGUUGGUUUUGUGUUUAGGAUCGGAGUUGGAAUAAGUUGCCAAUAAUUAAUUAUUCUGAAAAUUUGAAACCA
Rosa rugosa (rugosa rose) is the source of this 1430-nucleotide long non-coding RNA. RefSeq lists it as uncharacterized. The transcript is spliced from 2 exons. The record is from RefSeq and is a predicted model, not a curated record. NCBI's taxonomy places the organism in Eukaryota, Viridiplantae, Streptophyta, Magnoliopsida, Rosales, Rosaceae.